CAGUCGCCGCGGUAAUACAGAGGGUGCGAGCGUUAAUCGGAUUUACUGGGCGUAAAGCGUGCGUAGGCGGCUAAUUGAGUCGGAUGUGAAAUCCCCGAGCUUAACUUGGGAAUUGCAUUUGAUACUGGUUAGCUAGAGUGUGGGAGAGGAUGGUAGAAUUCCAGGUGUAGCGGUGAAAUGCGUAGAGAUCUGGAGGAAUACCGAUGGCGAAGGCAGCCAUCUGGCCUAACACUGACGCUGAGGUACGAAAGCAUGGGGAGCAAACAGGAUUAGAUACCCCCGUAGUCCCUGUCUCUUAUAC
Molecule: ribosomal RNA, 301 nt
Filed under: uncultured bacterium
Lineage: Bacteria
Description: partial 16S ribosomal RNA
Rfam family: Bacterial small subunit ribosomal RNA
Source: RNAcentral